Molecule: ribosomal RNA, 301 nt
Filed under: uncultured bacterium
Lineage: Bacteria
Description: partial 16S ribosomal RNA
Rfam family: Bacterial small subunit ribosomal RNA
Source: RNAcentral
CAGUCGCCACGGUAAAACGGAGGGUGCAAGCGUUAAUCGGAAUUACUGGGCGUAAAGCGUGCGUAGGUGGUGGUUUAAGUCCGUUGUGAAAGCCCUGGGCUCAACCUGGGAAUUGCAGUGGAUACUGGGUCACUAGAGUGUGGUAGAGGGGGGUGGAAUUCCAGGUGUAGCGGUGAAAUGCGUAGAGAUCUGGAGGAAUACCGGUGGCGAAGGCGGCCCCCUGGACAAAGACUGACGCUCAGGUGCGAAAGCGUGGGGAGCAAACAGGAUUAGAUACCCGCGUAGUCCCUGUCUCUUAUAC